CAAAUGGUUAAAAGUAUUUCAAAUUUGCAACUAAAUGUGAAAAUUGAAAACGAGUCAAUUAUUAUAAAUCCAAAACUCUUGGAGUGACAAUUGACCAGCAUUUAUCUUGGAGAACUAACACUGACAGAGGAUAUUUGCAAGAAAAUAAAUUCCGGAAUAUCGGCUCGUAGGCGUUCAAAAGAAUUUGCUGAUAAGCAAACAUUUCUUUCUGUAUAUAAUGCUAUUUUUUAUAAUGCUAUAUUGAUUACUGCUGUGAAGUAUGGGAUGUGAACAGAAAUUUGGAACAAAAUUCCAAAAAAAAUAAGAGAUUCAAGUACCAAAACGAAUUUCAAAAAGGAAAUGAAAAUACAUCUAUUAUUAUCUCAAGACAAGCUAUAAAACACAAUAUAUAUUUAUAUGUAUACAUAUAAUAUAUAUAUAUAACGGUAACAUAUUAUAUGAUAACAUAAUAUUAUAGAGUAGAUUACGGAAAUUAUUCUUUCCAGUAUAGAGUACAAUAUAUAUUUAUGUAAUUAUUAAUAAUUCUAUAUAGUAAUAGCUAGUAUGUACUCUAGAUCUUGAUAAACUGACGAAAAAUUACCUGAUAGAGAACUUAUUAAUU
Molecule: non-coding RNA, 601 nt
Organism: Paramuricea clavata
Lineage: Eukaryota; Metazoa; Cnidaria; Anthozoa; Malacalcyonacea; Plexauridae
Source: the annotation of a GenBank genome assembly